CCAAUAGCGUAUAUUAAAGUUGUUGCAGUUAAAAAGCUCGUAGUUGAAUUUCGGGGUCAGUAGAUUGGUCGUGCCACUGGUAUGUACUGGUCUCACUGAUCCCUCCUUCCUGAUGAACCGUACUGCCAUUCAUUUGGUGUUGCGAGGAAUCGGGACUGUUACUUUGACAAAAUGAGAGGGUUUAAAGCAGGCUAACGCUUGAAUACAUUAGCAUGGAAUAAUGGAAUAGGACGUUCGAUCCUAUUUUGUUGGUUUCUAGGAUUGACGUAAUGAUUAAUAGGGAUAGUUGGGGGCAUUAGUAUUCAAUUGUCAGAGGUGAAAUUCUUGGAUUUAUUGAAGACUAACUACUGCGAAAGCAUUUGCCAAGGAUGUUUUCAUUAAUCAAGAACGAAAGUUAGGGGAUCGAAGACGAUCAGAUACCGUCGUAGUCUUAACCAUAAACUAUGCCGACUAGGGAUCGGAUGAUGUUAAUUUUUUAAUGACUCAUUCGGCGCCUUACG
RNAcentral lists this ribosomal RNA (500 nucleotides) under uncultured Glomeromycotina. RNAcentral's name for it is "partial small subunit ribosomal RNA". It matches the Rfam family "Eukaryotic small subunit ribosomal RNA", at positions 591 to 1092 of the family's 1831-position model. Lineage: Eukaryota; Fungi; Glomeromycota. The record is from RNAcentral.